GAAUUCGCCCUUAGAGUUUGAUCCUGGCUCAGGAUGAACGCUGGCGGCGUGCCUAACACAUGCAAGUCGAACGGAGUUCUUAAGGAAUGCGACUUCGGUCAAAUGACUUUUGAACUUAGUGGCGGACGGGUGAGUAACGCGUGAGCAACCUGCCUUUCAGAGGGGGAUAACAUUUGGAAACAGAUGCUAAUACCGCAUAAGAUUACAGUACCGCAUGAUACAGUGAUCAAAGGAGCAAUCCGCUGAAAGAUGGGCUCGCGUCCGAUUAGAUAGUUGGUGAGGUAACGGCUCACCAAGUCGACGAUCGGUAGCCGGACUGAGAGGUUGAACGGCCACAUUGGGACUGAGACACGGCCCAGACUCCUACGGGAGGCAGCAGUGGGGAAUAUUGCACAAUGGGCGAAAGCCUGAUGCAGCAACGCCGCGUGAGGGAAGACGGUUUUCGGAUUGUAAACCUCUGUUUUCGGUGACGAACAAAUGACGGUAACCGAGUAGGAAGCCACGGCUAACUACGUGCCAGCAGCCGCGGUAAUACGUAGGUGGCAAGCGUUAUCCGGAAUUACUGGGUGUAAAGGGAGCGCAGGCGGGAUAGCAAGUCAGCUGUGAAAACUAUGGGCUCAACCCAUAAACUGCAGUUGAAACUGUUAUUCUUGAGUGGAGUAGAGGCAAGCGGAAUUCCGAGUGUAGCGGUGAAAUGCGUAGAUAUUCGGAGGAACACCAGUGGCGAAGGCGGCUUGCUGGGCUCUAACUGACGCUGAGGCUCGAAAGUGUGGGGAGCAAACAGGAUUAGAUACCCUGGUAGUCCACGCCGUAAACGAUGA
This 821-nucleotide ribosomal RNA is filed under the name uncultured bacterium. Its description in RNAcentral is "bacterial SSU rRNA". It matches the Rfam family "Bacterial small subunit ribosomal RNA", at positions 1 to 812 of the family's 1533-position model. The record is from RNAcentral.